Molecule: ribosomal RNA, 460 nt
Filed under: uncultured bacterium
Lineage: Bacteria
Description: partial 16S ribosomal RNA
Rfam family: Bacterial small subunit ribosomal RNA
Source: RNAcentral
CCUACGGGCGGCAGCAGUGAGGAAUAUUGGUCAAUGGACGAGAGUCUGAACCAGCCAAGUAGCGUGAAGGAUGACUGCCCUAUGGGUUGUAAACUUCUUUUAUAUGGGAAUAAAAUGUUCCACGUGUGGGAUUUUGUAUGUACCAUAUGAAUAAGGAUCGGCUAACUCCGUGCCAGCAGCCGCGGUAAUACGGAGGAUCCGAGCGUUAUCCGGAUUUAUUGGGUUUAAAGGGAGCGUAGGUGGAUUGUUAAGUGAGUUGUGAAAGUUUGCGGCUCAACCGUAAAAUUGCAGUUGAAACUGGCAGUCUUGAGUACAGUAGAGGUGGGCGGAAUUCGUGGUGUAGCGGUGAAAUGCUUAGAUAUCACGAAGAACUCCGAUUGCGAAGGCAGUUCACUGGACUGCAACUGACACUGAGGCUCGAAAGUGUGGGUAUCAAACAGGAUUAGAUACCCGUGUAGUC